UUAAAAGACAGUCAUGAGUUUUUUGUCUAAUUUUGAUGGUUCGUUUUAUUUAAAAAAAAUAGUAUUUUUGUUGUUAUUAGAUGAUAAAACAUAAAUAGUAUUUUAUUUGUGACUUAUGUUUUUUAAAUUUUUUCAAAAAAAGUUAAAUAAAACGAAUAAUUAAAAUUGAAUACGGAAACUUAUAGCUACGCUUAAA
MicroRNA precursor from Oryza sativa Japonica Group (Japanese rice), 196 nucleotides. It matches the Rfam family "MIR812 microRNA precursor family". The record is from Rfam. Lineage: Eukaryota; Viridiplantae; Streptophyta; Magnoliopsida; Poales; Poaceae.